GACGAACGCUGGCGGCGUGCUUAACACAUGCAAGUCGAACGGAAAGGCCCUGCUUUUGUGGGGUGCUCGAGUGGCGAACGGGUGAGUAACACGUGAGUAACCUGCCCUUGACUUUGGGAUAACUUCAGGAAACUGGGGCUAAUACCGGAUAGGAGCUCCUGCUGCAUGGUGGGGGUUGGAAAGUUUCGGCGGUUGGGGAUGGACUCGCGGCUUAUCAACUUGUUGGUGGGGUAGUGGCUUACCAAGGCUUUGACGGGUAGCCGGCCUGAGAGGGUGACCGGCGACAUUGGGACUGAGAUACGGCCCAGACUCCUACGGGAGGCAGCAGUGGGGAAUAUUGCACAAUGGGCGGAAGCCUGAUGCAGCAACGCCGCGUGCGGGAUGACGGCCUUCGGGUUGUAAACCGCUUUCGCCUGUGACGAAGCGUGAGUGACGGUAAUGGGUAAAGAAGCACCGGCUAACUACGUG
Molecule: ribosomal RNA, 468 nt
Filed under: uncultured bacterium
Lineage: Bacteria
Description: partial 16S ribosomal RNA
Rfam family: Bacterial small subunit ribosomal RNA
Source: RNAcentral